Molecule: long non-coding RNA, 262 nt
Organism: Sinocyclocheilus grahami
Lineage: Eukaryota; Metazoa; Chordata; Actinopteri; Cypriniformes; Cyprinidae
Exons: 3
Source: RefSeq, a predicted model, not a curated record
AAGGGCUGAUCCUGAGGCCUUUUCUGAAGCAGGUGCAGCUUAUGGAGCAGUCUCUGAAAACACAGUCCAUUUUGGCAAACUUUUAAUUGGUGUUCAAAGUACGGUAUCUCAUAGUGAUGUGAAAACAUCUGUGUUGAGCUCAGUGGAGUCUGAUGGCCACCAGUCAAAUGAGGAAGUGCGGUUUCUGCCUGCUAAAGCUAAGCUGCAUGUCUGGGCUCUUCUGUGAAGUGUAGCAAUGAUCUUGCGCUCAAUGAUCUUGUGC